GACGAACGCUGGCGGCGUGCCUAACACAUGCAAGUCGAGCGGGGUUGAAGCGAGGGGUAACUCGAGUUUCUACCUAGCGGCGGACGGGCGAGUAACGCGUGGGCAACCUGCCUCAAGGACUGGGAUAACAGCUCGAAAGGGCUGCUAAUACCGGAUAAGCCCAUGGCCUCGCAUGGGGCCAUGAGCAAAGGGGAAACCCGCCUUGAGAUGGGCCCGCGUCCCAUCAGCUAGUUGGUGAGGUGAAGGCUCACCAAGGCGACGACGGGUAGCCGGCCUGAGAGGGUGACCGGCCACACUGGGACUGAGACACGGCCCAGACUCCUACGGGGGGCAGCAGUGGGGAAUCUUGCACAAUGGGCGAAAGCCUGAUGCAGCGACGCCGCGUGAGCGAAGAAGGCCUUCGGUUGUAAAGCUCUGUCUGGAGGGACGAAGGAAGUGACGGUACCUCCCGGAGGAAGGCCACGGCUAACUACGUG
Molecule: ribosomal RNA, 476 nt
Filed under: uncultured bacterium
Lineage: Bacteria
Description: bacterial SSU rRNA
Rfam family: Bacterial small subunit ribosomal RNA
Source: RNAcentral